CACCGUUGGACCACACCCCAAACCGAGACCUAUAGGGUGUCUAAAUCACGUCUCUCAUACCUCAGCUAAGGGUGCUGAGGAAUAGUAACUCCA
This 93-nucleotide non-coding RNA is filed under the name unclassified sequences. RNAcentral describes it as "PhotoRC-II RNA". It matches the Rfam family "PhotoRC-II RNA". The record is from RNAcentral.